RNAcentral lists this long non-coding RNA (1813 nucleotides) under Triticum aestivum (bread wheat). Its description in RNAcentral is "long non-coding RNA (TAES_LNC020787)". Lineage: Eukaryota; Viridiplantae; Streptophyta; Magnoliopsida; Poales; Poaceae. The record is from RNAcentral.
GGUUUUUCAAUACAGAAAUCAUGAAUUGAAUUAGAUUUGCGUGAACUAAAAACUUGAAUCCAGAUGAACUAAUUUUGAUGAACUGAAUUUGAAUUCAGUGAACUAAACUUUGAGAUUAUGAUGAGUAUUUCAAGUGAACUGAAUAUGAAACUAGUGAACUAGACUUGUGAUUUGAUGACCCCAAAAUUUGAACUUUGUGAGCUAGAUUUGCGUGAACUAAAAACUUGAAUCCAGGUGAUCAUAUUUUAAUGAACUGAAUUAGAUGGUGUUUUUUAGUGAACUAAACUUUAAGAUUAUGAUGAGAAUUGUGGUGAACUGACUGUGAAUCUAGUGAACUAAAAUUAUGAUUUGAUGAACCGAAUUUGAACUUGGUGAACUGAAUUAUCAUUGUAUAAUUUGGUUUUAAAAAAAAGUUCACUAAAAUAAGAAACAACUGGCCUGGUUUUUCAAUACAGAAAUCAUGAAAUGAAUUAGAUUUGCGUGAACUAAAACUUGAAUCCAGAUGAACAAAUUUAGAUGAACUGAAUUUGAAUUCAGUGAACUAAACUUUGAGAUUAUGAUGAGUAUUGAAGUGAACUAAAUAUGAGUCUAGUGAACUAAAAUUAUGACUUGAUGAACUAAAUUUGAACUUGGUGAACUAGAUUUGCGUGAACUAAAAACUUGAAUCCAGGUGAACAUAUUUUAAUGAACUGAAUUAGAUGGUGUUUUUAGUGAACUAAACUUUAACACUAUGAUGAGAAUUGUGGUGAACUGAAUGUGAAUCUAGUGAACUAAAAUUAUGAUUUGAUGAACCGAAUUUGAACUUGGUGAAGUGAAUUAUCAAUGUAUAAUUUGGUUUUUAAAAAAAGUUAACUAAAAUAAAAAACAACUGGCCUGGUUUUUCAAUACAGAAAUCAUGAAAAGAAUUAGAUUUGCGUGAACUAAAACUUGAAUCCAGAUGAACAAAUUUAGAUGAACUGGAUUUGAAUUCAGUGAACUAAACUUUGAGAUUAUGAUGAAUAUUGAAGUGAACUAAAUAUGAGUCUAGUGAACUAAAAUUAUGAUUUGAUGAACUAAAUUUUAACUUGGUGAACUAGAUUUGCGUGAACUAAAAACUUGAAUCCAUGUGAACAUAUUUUAAUGAACUGAAUUAGAUGGUGUUUUUUAGUGAACUAAACUUUAAGAGUAUGAUGAGAAUUGUGGUGAACUGAAUGUGAAUCUAGUGAACUAAAAUUAUGAUUUGAUGAACCGAAUUUGAACUUGGUGAACUGAAUUAUCAAUGUAUAAUUUGGUUUUUUAAAAAAAAGUUCACUAAAAUAAAAAACAAUUGGCCUGGUUUUUCAAUACAGAAAUCAUGAAAUGAAUUAGACUUGCGUGAACUAAAAACUUGAAUCCAGAUGAACUAAUUUUGAUUAACUGAAUUUGAAUUCAGUGAGCUAAACUUUGAGAUUAUGAUGAGUAUUGAAGUGAACUGAAUAUGAAUCUAGUGAACUAAAAUUGUGAUUCGAUGACCCCAAAAUUUGAACUUUGUGAGCUAGAUUUGCAUGAACUAAAAACUUGAAUGUUUUUUAGUGAACUAAACUUUAAGAUUAUGAUGAGAAUUGUGGUGAACUGAAUGUGAAUCUAGUGAACUAAAAUUAUGAUUUGAUUAACCGAAUUUGAACUUGGUGAACUGAAUUAUCAAUGUAUAAUUUGGUUUUAAAAAAAAUUCACUAAAAUAAAAAACAACUGGCCUGGUUUUUCAAUACAGAAAUCAUGAAAUGAAUUAGAUUUGCGUGAACUAAAAACUUGAAUCCAGAUGAACUAAUUUAGAUGAACUGAAUUUGAAUUCUGU